GGGACUGCAAGGCCUAGACAGUUGGCCUUUUGUCCUUGAUGCAUACCGAGUAUGAACGUAAUCUCGUAAAAAUUCGUUCAAAUGUUAAUUGCAAAAUUGACUGCUAAAGCAAAAGCUCUAGUUUCUCCAUACUUCGGUAUGAAGGAAUUUGCUUUUGUUCCAGCUUUCGCGUAAGCCUAGGUUGGUGUCUCUCUUAUAGACUUCCGAUAUAUAAGUAGAGGCAUAAUAUUAUCGGGAUAGGGGAAAGAAUGACCCGACUUUCUUCCGAAACAAAGGGACUCGAUUAAAAAAUAUUUGGCUCGCUUAAGAAUUUUUUAAUCUAAACAAAAAAGCGAGCUAUGUAUGUAGACUUCAUUGCAAAAACCUUCUGCACGGGGAUUCAAUUUCCCCCAGUUCCACAA
This 401-nucleotide transfer-messenger RNA is filed under the name Candidatus Nomurabacteria bacterium GWB1_40_6. It matches the Rfam family "transfer-messenger RNA". Rfam says of the family: Bacterial tmRNA, also known as 10Sa RNA or SsrA, is named for its dual tRNA and mRNA-like properties. Its role is to liberate the mRNA from a stalled ribosome. Lineage: Bacteria; Candidatus Nomuraibacteriota. RNAcentral also lists the same sequence under 1 other name. The record is from RNAcentral.